This 497-nucleotide ribosomal RNA is filed under the name uncultured bacterium. RNAcentral describes it as "partial 16S ribosomal RNA". It matches the Rfam family "Bacterial small subunit ribosomal RNA", at positions 28 to 507 of the family's 1533-position model. The record is from RNAcentral.
GAUGAACGCUGGCGGCGUGCUUAAUACAUGCAAGUCGAGCGGACAGAUGAGGAGCUUGCUCCUCUGACGUUAGCGGCGCGCGUGUGUGUAACACGUGGAUACUCUACCUAUAAGACUGGUAUCACUUCGGGACACCGGAGCUAAUACCGGAUCAUAUCUUGAUCCGCAUGGUUCAAUAGUGACAGACGGUUUUGCUGUAACUUCUAGCUGGAUCGCCGCCGCAUUGGCUAGUUGGUAAGGUCACGGCUUACCAAGGCAACGCUGCGUAGCCGAAGUGAGAGAGUGGUCGGCGACACUGGAACUGAGACACGGUCCAGACGACUACGGGAGGCAGCAGUAGGCAAUCUGACGCAAUGGGCGAAAGCCUUACGGAGCAACGCCGCGUGAGUGAUGAAGGUCUUCGGAUCGUAAAACUCUGUUAUUAGGUAAAAACAAAUGUGGAAGUAACUAUAGACGGCUUGACGGUAACUAAUCAGAAAGCCACGGCUAACUACGUG